This 468-nucleotide ribosomal RNA is filed under the name uncultured bacterium. RNAcentral describes it as "partial 16S ribosomal RNA". It matches the Rfam family "Bacterial small subunit ribosomal RNA", at positions 28 to 507 of the family's 1533-position model. The record is from RNAcentral.
GAUGAACGCUGGCGGCGUGCUUAACACAUGCAAGUCGAACGGUGAAGGCGGAGCUUGCUCUGCUGGAUCAGUGGCGAACGGGUGAGUAACACGUGAGCAAUCUGCCCCUGACUCAGGGAUAAGCGCUGGAAACGGCGUCUAAUACUGGAUACGAGCUGCGAAGGCAUCUUCAGCAGCUGGAAAGAACUUCGGUCAGGGAUGAGCUCGCGGCCUAUCAGCUUGUUGGUGAGGUAACGGCUCACCAAGGCGUCGACGGGUAGCCGGCCUGAGAGGGUGACCGGCCACACUGGGACUGAGACACGGCCCAGACUCCUACGGGAGGCAGCAGUGGGGAAUAUUGCACAAUGGGCGAAAGCCUGAUGCAGCAACGCCGCGUGAGGGACGACGGCCUUCGGGUUGUAAACCUCUUUUAGCAGGGAAGAAGCGAAAGUGACGGUACCUGCAGAGAAAGCGCCGGCUAACUACGUG